GCCCCGCGCCUCGCACCUGAGGGAGCCGUGCGGCCGCCCUGCCUGCGCCGGCGGGGCAGCACCGGCCUCGCCAUAACAACAGACGUCGUGCCACAGAGUGUGUUUUGGGGUCCGGGCCGUGGAAGGAGCAGCAGCUUGCUUGCUUCCCUGGCAAAGUGGAAGUCAGAAGCCACCAGGCAGAGUGACCCUCUCACAGACCACUUAUCUUCACAGGAAACUGUUUCGGGAUUAGGUAAGCCAGAAAUCCCCACUUCCUUUUUUUAGAGAAAUUACAGUGUCCAUUAAUUAGAAUAUGCCUGUUUCAUUUUCUUCCACUGCCCUUGUU
Molecule: long non-coding RNA, 325 nt
Filed under: Calidris pugnax (ruff)
Lineage: Eukaryota; Metazoa; Chordata; Aves; Charadriiformes; Scolopacidae
Description: lncRNA (ENSCPUG00000002173.1)
Source: RNAcentral